Non-coding RNA from Cajanus cajan (pigeon pea), 101 nucleotides. The record is from Rfam. NCBI's taxonomy places the organism in Eukaryota, Viridiplantae, Streptophyta, Magnoliopsida, Fabales, Fabaceae.
GACAAAUUAAGGUAUUGGCGUGCCUCAAUUUGAAUACAUGGCUGUCAUCAAAAACCAGCCAUGUACUUUGAUUGAGCCGCGUCAAUAUCUUAUUUUGCACU